GACGAACGCUGGCGGCGUGCCUAAUACAUGCAAGUAGAACGCUGAAGGAGGAGCUUGCUUCUCUGGAUGAGUUGCGAACGGGUGAGUAACGCGUAGGUAACCUGCCUGGUAGCGGGGGAUAACUAUUGGAAACGAUAGCUAAUACCGCAUAAGAGUAGAUGUUGCAUGACAUUUGCUUAAAAGGUGCAAUUGCAUCACUACCAGAUGGACCUGCGUUGUAUUAGCUAGUUGGUGGGGUAACGGCUUACCAAGGCGACGAUCCAUAGCCGACCUGAGAGGGGGGGCGGCCACACUGGGACUGAGACACGGCCCAGACGCCUACGGGAGGCAGCAGUAGGGAAUCUUAGGCAAGGGACGGAAGUCUGACCGAGCAACGCCGCGUGAGUGAAGAAGGUUGUCGGAUCGUAAAGCUCUGUUGUAAGAGAAGAACGAGUGUGAGAGUGGAAAGUUCACACUGUGACGGUAACUGACCAGAAAGGGACGGCUAACUACGUG
This 495-nucleotide ribosomal RNA is filed under the name uncultured bacterium. RNAcentral describes it as "partial 16S ribosomal RNA". It matches the Rfam family "Bacterial small subunit ribosomal RNA", at positions 28 to 507 of the family's 1533-position model. The record is from RNAcentral.